Long non-coding RNA from Corticium candelabrum, 951 nucleotides. RefSeq lists it as uncharacterized. The transcript is spliced from 3 exons. The record is from RefSeq and is a predicted model, not a curated record. NCBI's taxonomy places the organism in Eukaryota, Metazoa, Porifera, Homoscleromorpha, Homosclerophorida, Plakinidae.
AUGCAUAGAACAGAAGUGUGUAUUCUGUGUCCAUAUGUGCCACUGCACGAAGGUAUACGGUAUUCACCAUUGCCGCUAGAGAGACUGGAUCGAGUCUACAUUCCCGCAGGUCUACUGCUGUAUCCACUGUAAUAGUUUUGCAAAUGAAUAGCGUUUGGAAGUUAGAAGACUGUUCUCAUGACAUUUACAGCACGAGAAGUUUCAGACAGUGACAGCAGUGUGGUAAACAUGUACCAAGAGCUCUAUAGUGUAUCGCAUUAAGUAGUAACUUUGUAGAUCUAUGUCAUUGUUUAAAUAAUUGCAACAGAUUACUGGUAAGAGCUCAUCGCUCAUGUCGCUCUACUCAGUCGGUAUAAUUUGGGUAGAAUGAUUCUUGUAGGUAUUAUAAGCAAACCUUGCUUGAACAAUAAAUUAAACUUGUAAUAUACACAAACUGUUGUGCUAGAUUCAAUUGUGUAAUUGUACAUAUAUAAUCAUGUCAGAUCCAAUUAGCAGUCUCAAUCUAAGUGUAAACUGUUCAGGUUGUAAUUGCCUGGACUUGUAAGUUUCAUGGUAGUCGAUUUACCUUCUAUAGCAGCCAAUGCAUAUAAUACCAUAUCAUAUGCAUAUAGCAUUUGGGAGUAAUGUAUAAUGAGGUUGGAAAAUUACAGGGAAACCAUCGCCCCCUUGGCGCACACAGUUCCUACGGCUAUGGACACUACUAUUUCAUUGUUUUCAUUGUUAUCUUGAUGGUUGGCAUUUACUUAAUAAUUUACUGCCAUUAAGGAUUCACUAGUAGAGUAUUUAACUUCAUAAUGAUGUUCAUUUACCAUUCAGGUUACUGCUGUACCAUCUGUGUACCACUGGAACGCCAUUAAAUUUCCUGAUUCAAAUAGUCCAGUGGAUGAUGGAGGCAACCUGCAUUGGUUCCUUGGUACACAAAGAUGUGCUACAGGCACACUUGCCUAUUGG